AGGCACGGGGGCUCAUGCCUGUAAUCUCAGCGCUUUGGGAGGCCGAGGCGGGUGGAUCAUGUGAGGUCAGGAGUCUGAGACCAACCUGGCCAACAUGGUGAAACCCAGUCUCUACUAAAAAUACAAAAAUUAGCAGGCUGUGAUGGCAGGUGCCUGUAAUCUCAGCUACUCGGGAGGCUGAGGCAGGGGAAUGGCUUGAACCCAGGAGAUGAAGGUUGCAGGGAGCCAAGUUUGUGCCACUGCACUCCAGCCUGGGCAACACGGUGAGACUCCAUCUCAAAAAAAAAAAAAAAAAAAAAACCAAAAAAAAAGAAUAAGCAAAAGCUCCUACCCUAUAACACUGAUGCAUUCUGUUUGCAUUUUAUUCCAUGAUUUACACAAUAAUUAUAUAUUGUAUCCUUAUGAUAUGUCAGAUACUGUGUUGGCACUUUACAUAUAUCUCACUUAAUCCUUAAUACCAUCUGGAAAUAAUAAACAUUUUAUGGAUGGUGAAACAGAGACACAGAGAAAUCGAAUAGCCUGCUCAGGGUUUCCAGAAUAGCAAAAUUAAAGGCCUAGGGUUUAGUUUUCCACUAAAGAUUCUCAUGGCUGGCUUCUUCACGUCAUUCAGGUCUCUGCUCAAAUGUAAUCUUAGAGAAGCUACAUUAAUCCAUCUGAAAUAGACACCUCACUGUGCAUCCAAUUGUCCUGCCUUAUUUUUCUUUGUAACAUUAUUAUAUUAUUUAUAUUUGUAUUGUCUGUAUCUCCUCCUAGACUAUGAUCUCUGUUAGGACAAGCUCUUGGUUGUGUUUGCUGCUUAUUACCACACUACCCAGACCAGAGCCUGGCACAUAAUAAGGAGCUCAACAAAUUUUUGUUAAGAAUAAUUGACUCUUAGACCCAAACUCUUAGCCACUAUGCUAUAUUUUGUCCCUAGAUGGGAUUAAGAAGGUUUACAUUUUGAAUAUCCUGAUACCAAAGAGCAUGCUGCACAAAGCCUGUGCAUGGAAUGUGCCAAAUAGUAUGUAAACUGCGCCAGACGCGGUGGCUCACGCCUGUAAUCCCAGCACUCUGGGAAGCCGAGGCGGGCGGAUCACAAGGUCAGGAGAGUGAGACCAUGCUCGCUAACUCGGUGAAACCCCAUCUCUACUAAAAAAAAUACAAAAACUUAGCCGGGCGUGGUAGCGGGCGCCUGUGGUCCCAGCUACUUGGGAGGCUGAGGCAGGAGAAUGGUGUGAACCCGGGAGGCGUAGCUUGCAGUGAGCCGAGAUCGUGCCACUGUACUCCAGCCUGGGU
This 1275-nucleotide long non-coding RNA is filed under the name Homo sapiens (human). Its description in RNAcentral is "HSALNT0179340". The record is from RNAcentral. Lineage: Eukaryota; Metazoa; Chordata; Mammalia; Primates; Hominidae.